AGAAAUAUGUCUGAAAAAAGAGUUACUUUGAUAGAGUA
This 38-nucleotide transfer RNA is filed under the name Myodes glareolus (Bank vole). Its description in RNAcentral is "partial tRNA-Ile". Lineage: Eukaryota; Metazoa; Chordata; Mammalia; Rodentia; Cricetidae. The record is from RNAcentral.